Molecule: long non-coding RNA, 1041 nt
Organism: Lolium rigidum
Lineage: Eukaryota; Viridiplantae; Streptophyta; Magnoliopsida; Poales; Poaceae
Exons: 3
Source: RefSeq, a predicted model, not a curated record
CACUUGUUGUACGUUCCGUUUUCUUGUUUGGAGAAAUUUUAUUUCUCUCGAUUUUGUCAUGUUUUGUAUGAUUGAAUAGGUUGCAAUUCAUGCUGAUAUUUGGUUAUUUUUUUGGGAAUAUGGCGACCACGGUGAUGCGGAGGGGGCUAGGCAAAGGGUCACCAAUGGAUCGAGGACGUGCGGGAGGAUGCAGAGGAGGUUGCAGCUGCGAUGGCCUCUCGAUGCUGCUAGAGAAGGAGGACGCGGACUACAAACGCUUGACUAGCAUCGUCGACGACGCUGUGUGAAAUUCCACACAGCCAGGUGCAUUGGAAUAAUUUCCAUGAAUACAAGGUCCCCUAAUUUUUGUAAUGCAACAAACAGGUAACAUUGCCAAGUUUUUCUUCACCCUCUCUUAUUAAGGAAAUAACUACAAGUGACAAUCCCCCGUUUUUUGUACUAGGUAACUUGGCAUAUUUAACAAGCAUGUCUUUGUUCCAGCUAAUUUUCUUAUAUGUGGUUGUUUGGAGGGGUCACUUUUGUUGUAUUGGAUUGGAGUACUACCAUUGGUUGGCCUUUUGAACAGGAACACAAAAUGUAACCAGCAUGGCACCAGUAUUCCAUCUCACACACCUCCUUAAGUUGCAGCCAAAAAAGUCUGUUGGUUGGUUCUACACCCUCACGCAAUAAGUUUUAUAUUAGAAUUUUUUUUUUAAAUCUUUCAGGCUAACCUGAGUGCAUUUUUUUCCACGUAACCCGAGUGCAAAUUGAACUGCUAUUUUAGUUGCAUAUUAGAUUCACAAUGCUGCCCUGUGCCAGGAUAAGUGGAUAACAAACCUUAAAUACGUCAGAUCACAAACCGUUUGUUGAUCUUAUUUAGAAUGAUGGGAGCUCAAAUUUAUUGCUCAAUGUGCAACACAGGAAUAAUCUUUCAUUUAUCUUAUUUAGCUGGUUCUCAUGUUAUGUCGAACUAAAGUCAAUUACCAUAAUAAGAAAACAAAAGUCAGUUAUUGUUGCUCAUACGGAACCAUGGAUGAUGAACAUCAGGUAUGCGCGUAAUAA